UAAAACAAUUAAUAUUAACCCUCUAUUCUUUCUCUUAAAAUUGCUUUGCAGUGAAUUGAAUUUUGUGGGCGACUGAACUUUAACCUCAUUCUGUGGCCUUUUCAAUUGUUUUAACGCCACGCCCACGUGAAAAUACACAGAUGGACAUUAUAUCCAUUGUUGGACCCCCAUAGACAAUGGGGAAAUCCUCUUAUUCAAGUCCCCGCCUCGAUGGUCUUUCUAUUCUGCGCUCUCUUUGUGGUCCAACCUUUUUAGCCACUUUCGUUUUAAUGUAAUCAAAUGAACGUGCCUCGCAUUAUUCUGUUGCCAAUAAAUUUCACGAGGCAAAUAGAUGAGGAUUGGAUACCGGUCCCCAUGGCUGUUGGCUACUACUUUCGGAGGGUCCUUUUCACCCACGGGAUCCUAGCGUUCAGCAUUGCGAGAAAAUAUCGUAGGUAUUGAGAAAAAUAGUUUACAAAAAUUAAAGUGAAGUUUUUAAGAUUAAAUUUAUAAAGUUGUGUACGGUUGUAGAAAAAUUAUGUUAAAUAAAUAAAAAUAAAACACAAUUUAUUUUUAAAGACAAGUA
Long non-coding RNA from Drosophila biarmipes, 565 nucleotides. RefSeq lists it as uncharacterized. The record is from RefSeq and is a predicted model, not a curated record. The transcript has 2 exons. Lineage: Eukaryota; Metazoa; Arthropoda; Insecta; Diptera; Drosophilidae.